RNAcentral lists this ribosomal RNA (492 nucleotides) under uncultured bacterium. Its description in RNAcentral is "partial 16S ribosomal RNA". It matches the Rfam family "Bacterial small subunit ribosomal RNA", at positions 29 to 507 of the family's 1533-position model. The record is from RNAcentral.
AGUGAACGCUGGCGGUAGGCCUAACACAUGCAAGUCGAACGGCAGCACAGUAAGAGCUUGCUCUUACGGGUGGCGAGUGGCGGACGGGUGGGGAAUACAUCGGAAUCUACUUUUUCGUGGGGGAUAACGUAGGGAAACUUACGCUAAUACCGCAUACGACCUACGGGUGAAAGCUGGGGAUCUUCGGCCCUUGCGGGAUUGCAUGAGCCGAUGUCGGAUUGGCUAGUUGGCGGGGUAAAGGCUGACCACGGCGACGAUCCGUAGCUGGUGUGAGAGGAUGAUCAGCCACACUGGAACGGAGACACGGACCAGACUACUACGGGAGGCAGCAGUGGGGAAUAGUGGACAAUGGGCGCAAACCUGAUCCAGCGAGACCGCGCGGGUGAAGAAGGCCCUCGGGGUGUGAAGACCGUUUGUUGGGAAUGAAAAGCAUCAGGUUAAGACCAAGCGGUUCUGACGGUACCCAAAGAAGAAGCACCGGCUAACUUCGUG